Molecule: ribosomal RNA, 301 nt
Filed under: uncultured bacterium
Lineage: Bacteria
Description: partial 16S ribosomal RNA
Rfam family: Bacterial small subunit ribosomal RNA
Source: RNAcentral
CAGUAGCCGCGGUAAUACAGAGGGUGCAAGCGUUAAUCGGAUUUACUGGGCGUAAAGGGCGCGUAGGUGGUUAUGUAAGUGAGAUGUGAAAUCCCCGGGCUCAACCUGGGAACUGCAUCUUAUACUGCGUAGCUGGAGUGCAGUAGAGGGUAGUGGAAUUUCCGGUGUAGCGGUGAAAUGCGUAGAUAUCGGAAGGAACACCUGUGGCGAAAGCGGCUCACUGGACAAUACCUGACGCUGAUGCACGAAAGCUAGGGGAGCAAACAGGAUUAGAUACCCCCGUAGUCCCUGUCUCUUAUAC